GUAUUUAAGUGCAUAGCACGUCAACAUCCUAUUACAUUCAGCGUGUGUAAAAUACCCCGAGGUCCCACGACCUAAGCCUGCUCACCGUGAAGUGAACGGGUCCUCGGAGUCAAAUGGUGCACAGGUGUGUGGAUUUGCAACCGACGUGCACAUGUGCCAUUCAGCACCAGCACAAUCGAUCGACUUGUUUUUCAUUAAUGAUCCUUCCGCAGGUUCACCUACGGAAA
Molecule: unclassified non-coding RNA, 227 nt
Filed under: uncultured fungus
Lineage: Eukaryota; Fungi
Description: sequence contains ITS1
Source: RNAcentral